Molecule: long non-coding RNA, 2185 nt
Organism: Equus caballus (horse)
Lineage: Eukaryota; Metazoa; Chordata; Mammalia; Perissodactyla; Equidae
Source: Ensembl
GUGUCAUUCUCCUGAUAAGGAAACCAGGAGGUUGCUUACAUUUGCCUGAGGAAUGUUCCAGAGCAGGCCUGGGACCAAGUACCAGACCUACUCCAGAGACAGCAGUGAGCUGAGGCUCUCUAGGGCCGACGAUUGUCUUCCCACUGGACCAGUGCUCCUUUAAGACUAGGGGCGAGCCAGAAACCCACUCCGCAGAGAAGCCCUUUGCUCCGUCAGUGGUUAAACGGACAAACGUCCGUUACACAACUCACCAAGAUCUGGACCAGUGCUGUGCUGGGGAAGAACUUCACGGAUUCCUGUUCUCAGACCUCCUCCUCUGUGUGAUUCCGGCGAGGAGAAGGCGCAGGUGGAAGGGCUGCAGUGAAGACAGGGUGUUGGGAAGAGCUGGCACGAAGAGUUAAGAGACCCGGGGCAUACCCAGCUCUGCACCAACUGGGCAGUGACCCUGGCCAGCCACUCCAGCUCCUGGACCUGCUGCUUUGUCUGUUUUAGGAAAAAAUCGUGCUCCAAUUGGUAAAGCCCUCUGACUGACAGCAUAUGAUAUGUCCCACAUGGGCAGCUCCUUUAAUAUUUUAUGUGAUGUAAUUCUGAGCCCCAUUUCAUCGUGGCAAGUCUAUUCCUCUCCUCUCCCUUCUUCCGUGAGACUCAUCACUCCCCAGGGCUGCUCCUUGCGCUCUGCUUUGCCCCUUGAAGUGGAGGCUGUCACCUCCUCUGGGGUCUGGGCUCCCAGGGUCACAGUCCCUGUAAUGAAAUUCACGCAUGUCUCGAUUGCAGUCUGUGAUCGCAUGUCUCUGCACAGUCUGUGAUCGCAUCCAGCCUCCCCCUGAAGGAGUCAGGCGGCCAGCACCACGAGUGCUUCAGAGACGCUGCAAUAGCUUUGAAUCUGUGAAGGAGUCCAGAUCCCGUCCUUCCGCAAGGCUUCUUGGCCCUGACGCAAUUUGUCCACCCCUCCUUAGCAAUCGGGCCAUGUAGGGGGCGAGGCGAUGACAGUCUGCCGAGGCCAACAGUCCUGGCUCACUCUCUCCCAGAGGAUCGGUUGCUGACUUGACCUUCAUCUCCUUCCCUGAAAGGGACCACUCAGGCGGUUUUUCUCAGGGACACUCACUGUCUCCGCUGCUAGAAAUAGAAGUGGCUGGAAACUUUGAACAGGAACUUGCUUUCAGAAAAUCCAGUUCCUCCUCCCCUGCAACAUUUUUCUGAUGUUCCAUUCAGCCUUGUCUUUCCUUAAAGAUAGCAGAGCUUGGAGGCAACUUCAGGCUGGGGGGGAACAGGAUCAGGGGACAGGAGAUGACGUUUUGUGUCCCUUUGUCUCCUGCAAGAAGCAGGCAAUGGGGACCUCCUCCCUCCCUGCAUCCAGCCUCCAGACUCUCCGGGGUUUCCAUGUACCCCUCCCUCUGUGGGCUGAGCUCUGGUCAUUUGGCAGGCCCCCCUGAGGUGGCCUGCCACAGGCGGGUGGAAGGGAUGGGUGGGCACAAGAUCAGCAGGCUUUCCUCAAGCUAGGGUGUGGGCUCAGAUGGGCUGUGGGGUGACCAGCAGGUCUCCUGCCUCCUGGGCCUUGGACCCGUUCCUGCUCUCUGAGUCUCGGACUCAGAAACUAUGAUUUCUGGGCCCUGUUUUAAGGAUCGACCAGGGCAUUAUAAAAAAAGUGGGGGCUGCAGCACAGGAAGGCGAGUCUAUUUCAUGUUCUCCAACUUGGUGCAAACUCACACUUGAACACUCCUCCCCCCUUUUGCUUUUUCUUGUGUCGUCUUUCUUUCUUAGGCUCCUCCCCUUUUCUCUCUCCCUUCCUCCCUCUCCCUCUCCUACCUUCUGUUUUCUGCUCCAUGGUCGAGGGGAGCAGAGCCCAGGGCAGACUGGCCGGAAUGUUGUGCCUUUAACCGAAAGACUAAAGUGCAGUGACCGACCUCUGGUGGCCACAGAGGGGCAGGGGGACAUUUGACACAGGACGUGCCUGUGUGACCUCUCGGGACAAAGAAGCACCCAUCUCGUGGUCCGUCUGGCUCCUCCUGGGGUCUGGCAGCAGGGGUCCCUUCCAUGUCUCUGCAGGCAAAGGCCAGGUCUCCCACUUGUUCGAUGUUGUACUCCAUCUGUAAAAAGGUUUACACGUGACUCCCACACACAGAUUUAUACUUCAUGUAAUCUAUUACUGAACGAAUACAUUAUGCACAUUUAAAGUGUAUUAAAA